CUGUUAGAUUUGUCGGCAUCACUCUCAGUAAAAUCAAUUCUUUUUUUUGCGUUGAUCCUGAUUGUAAUGUACAUCACAGAUGUAAAGAAGUCUUGAUCAGAGGAAUACAAUAAGAUGGAGGUUUAUGAAAGAUUACAUGUAGCAGCAUAUAAAAAAGAGAAAGCAUUUGAGAAGGGAAAAAGACUAACAUUCAAUUCCAUUUGGACUUUCACAUAAAAGUAUCAUUGUGGCAAGUCAUAUAAUGGAGAAGCAAUAAGAGAGAUGUUUAAAAUCCAAGUUUAUGAAGCAUUACCUAUUUUCGUUUUCCUUUAUGCUGAUAGACGUUAGCUUAUGAGUUGUAGGAGUAUUGUCAUUGGUGGUUGUAUCCUUGCCUGACUGAAAAAGCUUCACACAUUAUGUUAAUAACCAUGAUAUAUGAAGGACAUAAUUUAUAGGGUACUUGGCAGACGAAUCAGUGUUCAUUCCUAUGUAGAAUAACUUCUCUUUACCAAUGGCCUUAUCCAGGUGCUGAAGGUUGCUCCUCCCUGGCACAAAAAAGGAUGAAGUAUCAAUAAUCUAUUUUAUUUUGAAUGGCGAGGCAGGAAAAAGUGAACUGCAUGAGAAAGUGUUCACCUGAAAAGAUGAUGCUGGAAGGUUAGAUAUUUCUUCAAUGGUGUAUAGUUUGCCUGCUGCUUCAAGUGGAGAUACUUGUUUGACCUGAGGGAGAUGCUUUUGUAGAGUUGGGCAUUUCCAUUGAUAGCUUCAAAUGUUUUUCAUAUAAAAUAUUAGUUUGCUGUAGUGCUAAACAUAAAUUCUGUAUGCGCAAGAGUGAGAAAGAGAGAACCUGGUGCGGUACUUUUGAACUUCAGGUAUAUCAAGAUCAAGAUAUAUUUGUGUCGCAGAACUUGAGGAUCCUUGUAUCAUACCUAUAAACUUAUGUUGUUAA
Non-coding RNA from Triticum urartu, 925 nucleotides. The record is from RefSeq and is a predicted model, not a curated record. Lineage: Eukaryota; Viridiplantae; Streptophyta; Magnoliopsida; Poales; Poaceae.